RNAcentral lists this ribosomal RNA (468 nucleotides) under uncultured bacterium. RNAcentral's name for it is "partial 16S ribosomal RNA". It matches the Rfam family "Bacterial small subunit ribosomal RNA", at positions 28 to 507 of the family's 1533-position model. The record is from RNAcentral.
GACGAACGCUGGCGGCGUGCUUAACACAUGCAAGUCGAACGGAAAGGCCCUGCUUUGGUGGGGUGCUCGAGUGGCGAACGGGUGAGUAACACGUGAGUAACCUGCCCUUGACUUUGGGAUAACUUCAGGAAACUGGGGCUCAUACCGGAUAGGAGCUCCUGCUGCAUGGUGGGGGUUGGAAAGUUUCGGCGGUUGGGGAUGGACUCGCGGCUUAUCAGCUUGUUGGUGGGGUAGUGGCUUACCAAGGCUUGGACGGGUAGCCGGGCUGCGAGGGUGACCGGCCACACUGGGACUGGGAUACGGCCCAGACUACUACGGGAGGCAGCAGUGGGGAAGAGUACACAGUGGGCGGAAGCAUGGUGCGGCCACGCCGCGUGCGGGAUGACGGCCUUCGGGUUGUAAUCCGCUGUCGCCUGUGACGAAGCGUGAGUGACGGUAAUGGGUAAAGAAGCACCGGCUAACUACGUG